This 493-nucleotide ribosomal RNA is filed under the name uncultured Actinomycetes bacterium. RNAcentral's name for it is "bacterial SSU rRNA". It matches the Rfam family "Bacterial small subunit ribosomal RNA", at positions 355 to 840 of the family's 1533-position model. Lineage: Bacteria; Bacillati; Actinomycetota; Actinomycetes. The record is from RNAcentral.
UGGGGAAUCUUGCGCAAUGGGCGAAAGCCUGACGCAGCGACGCCGCGUGCGGGAAGAAGGCCUUAGGGUUGUAAACCGCUUUCAGGAGGGACGAAGCCACUCGGGUGAACAGCCCAGAGGGUGACGGUACCUCCAGAAGAAGCCCCGGCUAACUACGUGCCAGCAGCCGCGGUAAGACGUAGGGGGCAAGCGUUGUCCGGAUUCAUUGGGCGUAAAGCGCGUGUAGGCGGCCAGGUAGGUCGGAUGUGAAAACUGGAGGCUCAACCUCCAGCUGUCAUCCGAAACCAUCUGGCUAGAGUCCGGAAGAGGAGAGUGGAAUUCCUGGUGUAGCGGUGAAAUGCGCAGAUAUCAGGAAGAACACCUAUGGCGAAGGCAGCUCUCUGGGACGGUACUGACGCUGAGACGCGAAAGCGUGGGGAGCGAACAGGAUUAGAUACCCUGGUAGUCCACGCCGUAAACGAUGGGCGCUAGGUGUGGGCGGUGUCGACUCCGU